AGGAGCUGAUGAGGGGUCUCCCCAACUUUGGGAGGAAACCUCGCCCACCUCGCGGAGAGCGGGGCGCCUGCAAAGGUGCGGGGUGAGAACCCCGGCAACGGAGCAGAAACGAAACGUCCACCCGUGCACGUGAAGAUGAAACAUGCUAAGUUGUUGAGUUGAGUGUGCCGGGUGGAAGCGUUGAAACGCCCGUCCCCCGCGGUGCAAGGGUAAAUAGGCAUCUAUGAGGCCUCCCCCCGAGAUGCGGGUAACCCGCCUAGAUAAAUGCCCCUAAAACAGAAGGCGAGUUACGGUCAGCACCU
Molecule: RNase P RNA, 302 nt
Filed under: Thermococcus sp.
Lineage: Archaea; Methanobacteriati; Methanobacteriota; Thermococci; Thermococcales; Thermococcaceae
Description: RNase P RNA component
Rfam family: Archaeal RNase P
About the family: Ribonuclease P (RNase P) is a ubiquitous endoribonuclease, found in archaea, bacteria and eukarya as well as chloroplasts and mitochondria. Its best characterised activity is the generation of mature 5'-ends of tRNAs by cleaving the 5'-leader elements of precursor-tRNAs.
Source: RNAcentral